ACAUGGCACACUGGAGAAUCCCUGGGUGAUUCUGAUACUAAGAUCAUGAGGUCUGCACAGGUAUAUAUUGGGGAGUGGCUCCGGCACUAUAUGCCAUUGAAAGAACGGACACUAAGCAAAGAUGCAGACAAAUUGUCUCAAGUUUCUGUUUCAAACGCCUCUAAGCGUCAUUUGUCUGAAUCUGGAACUAGAAGUGUUAUGUGGUUAAGUGAAAUACUGUUAAAUUGCAAUUUUUGAUGUACAAACAAACUAAUUAAUUGUUUUUAA
This is a long non-coding RNA of Rosa chinensis, 267 nucleotides long. RefSeq lists it as uncharacterized. NCBI's taxonomy places the organism in Eukaryota, Viridiplantae, Streptophyta, Magnoliopsida, Rosales, Rosaceae. The record is from RefSeq and is a predicted model, not a curated record. The transcript is spliced from 2 exons.